Molecule: long non-coding RNA, 817 nt
Organism: Pongo pygmaeus (Bornean orangutan)
Lineage: Eukaryota; Metazoa; Chordata; Mammalia; Primates; Hominidae
Exons: 2
Source: RefSeq, a predicted model, not a curated record
UCUACUCUUCUACCAUAUGAGGACACAAGAUCUGCCCCUUUUGCCCUUUUCACCCUUCCACCAUGUGAGGAUGCAGCAGAAGGCCCUCACCAGACCCCAAAUAUGAGUGCUUUGAUCUUGGACUUCCCAGCCUUCAAACUUGUUACAAUGAACAUACUUGAACAUGUAUCUUUCUGCAACCUCCUCAUAUUUAAUGUGAUGCCAGUCAACAUCUUAACAGAAGUUUUCCAGAGAACUUGACAAGCUCCUGAAAUUCAAAUGAAAACAGGAACCAAGAACAGCCAAAAAUCAUUUUGAAGAGUAAUAAUAAGGAAAUCCUGCCAUAUCAAAAUACAUUUUAAUGUUCUAAUAAAGUAGUAUGAUAUUGUUACAAGAGACAUAUCAAUACGAUAGAGAACUUAGGACACACAUAGGUUUGGUAUGUGAUACAGGUGACAUUAUAGAUCAAUGGAGGAAAUAAAUGUUCAAUAAGUGAAUCCUCAUAUUGAAAAAGAUAAAAUUAGAUCUAGUGAUAUGGUUUGGUUGUGUCCCCACCCAAAAUCUCAUCCUGAAUUGUAAUCCCCAUAAUCCCCACACGUCAAGGGUGGGAUGAGGUGGAGGUAACUGGAUGAUGGGGAUGGUUCGCCCUAUGUUGUUCUCAUGAUAGUGAGUGAGUUCUCACGAGAUAUAAUGAUUUUAUAAGCAUCUGGCAUUUCCCCUGCUUGCUUCUCCCCCCUGCUACUCUGUGACUAGGUGCCUUCUACCAUGAUUGUAAGUUUCCUAAGGCCUCCCCAGCCAUGCUGAACUGUGAGUCAAUUAAACCUCUUUCCUUUAUAAA